AAGAAGAUUGCGAUUUUGCGGCGCUUGUAUCUUUGCUUUUUGAUGGUCGUGGUGUCGCCAGGGGCGGUCGUAACAGUUUCUUCAUCGUCGGAAGUGGGGGUGGACAUUUUAGGCUUUUUAAGUUCUGGUUCUCGUUGCGGUGGUGGGGAUGCGGUGGUUUUUGAAUCUGGAUUUUCCAUCUUCAGUGAUUAUAAUCCGAGUUUUCCAUUAAUUUUUUUCAGAUGUCUGUACCCGGGCAAA
Molecule: unclassified non-coding RNA, 240 nt
Filed under: Hevea brasiliensis (rubber tree)
Lineage: Eukaryota; Viridiplantae; Streptophyta; Magnoliopsida; Malpighiales; Euphorbiaceae
Source: RNAcentral